Molecule: ribosomal RNA, 292 nt
Filed under: uncultured bacterium
Lineage: Bacteria
Description: partial 16S ribosomal RNA
Rfam family: Bacterial small subunit ribosomal RNA
Source: RNAcentral
GUGUCAGCCGCCGCGGUAAGACGAAGGGGGCAAGCGUUGUUCGGAAUUACUGGGCGUAAAGGGCGCGUAGGCGGCCUGAUAAGUUAGCCGUGAAAGGCCUGGGCUCAACCUGGGAAUUGCGGUUGAUACUGUUGGGCUGGAGAGCGGGAGAGGAUGGUGGAAUUCCCAGUGUAGAGGUGAAAUUCGUAGAUAUUGGGAAGAACACCGGUGGCGAAGGCGGCCAUCUGGACCGUAUCUGACGCUGAGGCGCGAAAGCGUGGGGAGCAAACAGGAUUAGAAACCCUUGUAGUCC